AUUGAACGCUGGCGGCAGGCCUAACACAUGCAAGUCGAGCGGAUGAACGGAGCUUGCUCCUGGAUUCAGUGGCGGACGGGUGAGUAAUGCCUAGGAAUCUGCCCGGUAGUGGGGGAUAACGUCCGGAAACGGGCGCUAAUACCGCAUACGUCCUGAGGGUGAAAGUGGGGGAUCUUCGGACCUCACGCUAUCUGAUGAGCCUAGGUCGGAUUAGCUAGUUGGUGGGGUAAAGGCCUACCAAGGCGACGAUCCGUAGCUGGUCUGAGAGGAUGAUCAGUCACACUGGAACUGAGACACGGUCCAGACUCCUACGGGAGGCAGCAGUGGGGAAUAUUGGACAAUGGGCGAAAGCCUGAUCCAGCCAUGCCGCGUGUGUGAAGAAGGUCUUCGGAUUGUAAAGCACUUUUAGUGGGGAGGAAGAGCAGUAAGUUAAUACCUUGCUGUUUUGACGUUACCAACAGAAUAAGCACCGGCUAACUUCGUG
This 484-nucleotide ribosomal RNA is filed under the name uncultured bacterium. RNAcentral describes it as "partial 16S ribosomal RNA". It matches the Rfam family "Bacterial small subunit ribosomal RNA", at positions 30 to 507 of the family's 1533-position model. The record is from RNAcentral.